GACGAACGCUGGCGGCGUGCUUAACACAUGCAAGUCGAACGAAAAGAGGGAAAGAGCUUGCUCUUUCCGGAAUUGAGUGGCAAACGGGUGAGUAACACGUAAACAACCUGCCUUCAGGAUGGGGACAACAGACGGAAACGACUGCUAAUACCGAAUAAGUUCCAAGGGCCGCAUGGCCCAUGGAAGAAAAGGUGGCCUCUACCUGUAAGCUAUCGCCUGAAGAGGGGUUUGCGUCGGAUUAGCUGGUUGGAGGGGUAACGGCCCACCAAGGCGACGAUCAGUAGCCGGUCUGAGAGGAUGAACGGCCACACUGGAAGUGAGACACGGUCCAGACGCCUGCGGGAGGCAGCAGUGGGGAAUCUUCCGCAAUGGGCGAAAGCCUGACGGAGCAACGCCGCGUGAGUGAUGACGGCCUUCGGGUUGUAAAACUCUGUGAUCCGGGACGAAAAGGCAGAGUGCGAAGAACAAACUGCAUUGACGGUACCGGAAAAGCAAGCCACGGCUAACUACGUG
RNAcentral lists this ribosomal RNA (513 nucleotides) under uncultured bacterium. Its description in RNAcentral is "partial 16S ribosomal RNA". It matches the Rfam family "Bacterial small subunit ribosomal RNA", at positions 28 to 507 of the family's 1533-position model. The record is from RNAcentral.